Tripterygium wilfordii is the source of this 106-nucleotide small nucleolar RNA. NCBI's taxonomy places the organism in Eukaryota, Viridiplantae, Streptophyta, Magnoliopsida, Celastrales, Celastraceae. The record is from RefSeq and is a predicted model, not a curated record.
AAGCCAUGAUUUUGACAACUCCUUAUGAUAGCUUUGAAUCGCUCCCAUGCCUUAUAGAUAGAUUCAAAUUCAAGUUGAGAAAAAGUCAUGAAUUCAUUCCUAAUUU